RNAcentral lists this unclassified non-coding RNA (472 nucleotides) under uncultured Claussenomyces. Its description in RNAcentral is "sequence contains ITS1, 5.8S rRNA gene, ITS2". The stretch from base 171 to 324 matches the Rfam family "5.8S ribosomal RNA". The record is from RNAcentral. Lineage: Eukaryota; Fungi; Ascomycota; Leotiomycetes; Helotiales; Helotiaceae.
CAGAGAUCAUGCCCUUCGGGGUAGACCUCCCACCCUAUGUUUACAUUACCUUUGUUGCUUUGGCGGGCCGUUCAGCCCUGUGCUGAACUACCGGCUUAUGCUGGUAAGCGCCUGCCAGAGGACCCCAACCUCUGAAUGUUAUCGUCGUCUGAGUACUAUAUAAUAGUUAAAACUUUCAACAACGGAUCUCUUGGUUCUGGCAUCGAUGAAGAACGCAGCGAAAUGCGAUAAGUAAUGUGAAUUGCAGAAUUCAGUGAAUCAUCGAAUCUUUGAACGCACAUUGCGCCCCUUGGUAUUCCGGGGGGCAUGCCUGUUCGAGCGUCAUUACAACCCUCAAGCUCUGCUUGGUAUUGGGUAUCACCUUUGGUGGUGUGCCCCAAAAUCAGUGGCGGUGCCAUCUGGCUCUAAGCGUAGUAACUUUCUCGCUAUGGAGUCCUCAUGGUCGCUUGCCAACAACCCCCAAUUCUUUCAG